Molecule: non-coding RNA, 206 nt
Organism: Pelobates cultripes (western spadefoot toad)
Lineage: Eukaryota; Metazoa; Chordata; Amphibia; Anura; Pelobatidae
Source: the annotation of a GenBank genome assembly
CCCAUUCCUUGUAACAUUUGCUAAAACAACAGUUUGUGUUGAUACACUGUCAUACUGGAUACGUUUGGUGCAUACAGUUUACCCAUAAUAGUGGUAUGGAUUUAUGAGGCUAUUGAUUGCCCUUGUAUUAUAGCCACGAGUGGUUUACUGAGGGUGAUAUACAAAGCCUCUCUUGGUGACAUUCUUCCAGUUAGCAGUUUGUGUUG